This 90-nucleotide transfer RNA is filed under the name Clostridium gasigenes. RNAcentral's name for it is "tRNA-Ser". It matches the Rfam family "tRNA". Rfam says of the family: Transfer RNA (tRNA) molecules are approximately 80 nucleotides in length. Their secondary structure includes four short double-helical elements and three loops (D, anti-codon, and T loops). Further hydrogen bonds mediate the characteristic L-shaped molecular structure. tRNAs have two regions of fundamental functional importance: the anti-codon, which is responsible for specific mRNA codon recognition, and the 3' end, to which the tRNAs corresponding amino acid is attached (by aminoacyl-tRNA synthetases). tRNAs cope with the degeneracy of the genetic code in two manners: having more than one tRNA (with a specific anti-codon) for a particular amino acid; and 'wobble' base-pairing, i.e. permitting non-standard base-pairing at the 3rd anti-codon position. The record is from RNAcentral. Lineage: Bacteria; Bacillati; Bacillota; Clostridia; Eubacteriales; Clostridiaceae.
GGAGAGAUGUCCGAGUGGCCGAAGGAGCUCGCCUGGAAAGCGGGUAUGGGGGCAACUCUAUCAGGGGUUCGAAUCCCCUUCUCUCCGCCA